RNAcentral lists this ribosomal RNA (253 nucleotides) under uncultured bacterium. Its description in RNAcentral is "partial 16S ribosomal RNA". It matches the Rfam family "Bacterial small subunit ribosomal RNA", at positions 524 to 776 of the family's 1533-position model. The record is from RNAcentral.
UACGGCGGGAGCUAGCGUUGUUCGGAAUUACUGGGCGUAAAGCGCACGUAGGCGGCUUUGUAAGUUAGAGGUGAAAGCCCGGGGCUCAACUCCGGAACUGCCUUUAAGACUGCAUCGCUUGAAUCCAGGAGAGGUGAGUGGAAUUCCGAGUGUAGAGGUGAAAUUCGUAGAUAUUCGGAAGAACACCAGUGGCGAAGGCGGCUCACUGGACUGGUAUUGACGCUGAGACGCGAAAGCGUGGGGAGCGAACAGG